Molecule: unclassified non-coding RNA, 604 nt
Filed under: uncultured Alphaproteobacteria bacterium
Lineage: Bacteria; Pseudomonadati; Pseudomonadota; Alphaproteobacteria
Description: partial contains 16S ribosomal RNA, 16S-23S ribosomal RNA intergenic spacer, and 23S ribosomal RNA
Rfam family: Bacterial large subunit ribosomal RNA (bases 489-604)
Source: RNAcentral
UCUAAGGAUCGGGCGGAGAAAUCCUCCCGUGACUUACACAGAGGGUACGGAUGAGGGACUCAGCCCGAACCGUAUCCAUCCUGGCUCGCCGCCUUCGCAUCCCUUCCACAUCGGACAUGACGAGCGACGCUCGUCCUGGGCUUGUAGCUCAGUUGGUUAGAGCGCGCGCUUGAUAAGCGUGAGGUCGGAAGUUCAAGUCUUCCCAGGCCCACCAGUCACUGGCCAUGGCAGCGGAAAGAACGCGCCGGCCGGUCCGAUGUGAGAAGAAGAGUUCGCCGGAUCUCUGAUCCGGCGGGAUGUUGAACAUAGUGAAUAGGGUUUGAGUGUGAAACUGACCUCGGACGAGGUCGGUCGAUCAGCAAUGGUCGAUCGAAUUCGUCCGUUACGCGUUGCAGUCCGGUCUGCGAUUGAGCGGCUGGAUCUGGGGCGAGACACUUUCCGGUGUCGCCCUUUGGAGGACCUUGUGUCCCUGCGCGUGGGAGAGAAAUCAAGCGUCUAAGAAGGGCAUCUGGUGGAUGCCUUGGCACUGAGAGGCGAUGAAGGACGUGACACGCUGCGAUAAGCCGUGGGGAGGGGCGAGCACCCUUUGAUCCGCGGAUUUCCG